RNAcentral lists this small RNA (82 nucleotides) under Xanthomonas vasicola. RNAcentral describes it as "sX9 sRNA". It matches the Rfam family "Xanthomonas sRNA sX9". The record is from RNAcentral. Lineage: Bacteria; Pseudomonadati; Pseudomonadota; Gammaproteobacteria; Lysobacterales; Lysobacteraceae.
AUGUACCACUCGUACACUCCGGUUCCUGUGCGCCGCCCGCACCCGCCUGACGACUGCUCGCUGCCGUAGCGACGCGCUAGCG